This is a ribosomal RNA of 350 nucleotides. It matches the Rfam family "Bacterial large subunit ribosomal RNA", at positions 1417 to 1766 of the family's 2925-position model.
GAUGGGAAACAGGUUAAUAUUCCUGUACUUGGUGUUACUGCGAAGGGGGGACGGAGAAGGCUAGGCUAGCCGGGCGACGGUUGUCCCGGUUUAAGCGUGUAGGGGGUGUGACCUGGUAAAUCCGGUUGCAUAUCAACCCUGAGGCGUGAUGACGAUGCACUACGGUGCAGAAGUAGUUGAUGCCCUGCUUCCAGGAAAAGCCUCUAAGCUCCAGGUAACAUUAAAUCGUACCCCAAACCGACACAGGUGGUCAGGUAGAGAAUACCAAGGCGCUUGAGAGAACUCGGGUGAAGGAACUAGGCAAAAUGGUGCCGUAACUUCGGGAGAAGGCACGCUGGCAUGUAGGUGAA